CAUUGGCGGUGGAUCCUGCCGUAUCAGAGCAUGCUCACACACGUGCAGAGAUGCCAGCAGGCCCCCCACAACAGCAGCCACGCUUGGUUGCAGAAGAAUUCACCACACGCCUCGAGCAAGGCAAAGAGCGGCUUGCAGAUACAGAGCGUCGCAUGCAGGCUUGCACGUUGGCCUUGGCACGCGAGCGAAGUGCAUACCAGCUGCGCAUU
RNAcentral lists this non-coding RNA (209 nucleotides) under Tripos fusus. Lineage: Eukaryota; Dinophyceae; Gonyaulacales; Ceratiaceae. The record is from RNAcentral.